Molecule: ribosomal RNA, 553 nt
Filed under: uncultured Bacilli bacterium
Lineage: Bacteria; Bacillati; Bacillota; Bacilli
Description: bacterial SSU rRNA
Rfam family: Bacterial small subunit ribosomal RNA
Source: RNAcentral
GUCGAGCGAAUCUGAGGGAGCUUGCUCCCAAAGAUUAGCGGCGGACGGGUGAGUAACACGUGGGCAACCUGCCUGUAAGACUGGGAUAACUUCGGGAAACCGGAGCUAAUACCGGAUAAUUCUUAUCAACUCAUGUUGGUAAGCUAAAAGACGGCGUAAGCUGUCACUUACAGAUGGGCCCGCGGCGCAUUAGCUAGUUGGUGAGGUAACGGCUCACCAAGGCAACGAUGCGUAGCCGACCUGAGAGGGUGAUCGGCCACACUGGGACUGAGGCACGGCCCAGACUCCUACGGGAGGCAGCAGUAGGGAAUCUUCCGCAAUGGACGAAAGUCUGACGGAGCAACGCCGCGUGAGUGAUGAAGGUUUUCGGAUCGUAAAACUCUGUUGUUAGGGAAGAACAAGUACGAGAGUAACUGCUCGUACCUUGACGGUACCUAACCAGAAAGCCACGGCUAACUACGUGCCAGCAGCCGCAGUAAUACGUAGGUGGCAAGCGUUGUCCGGAAUUAUUGGGCGUAAAGCGCGCGCAGGCGGUCCUUUAAGUCUGAUGUGA